CCUACGGGUGGCUGCAGUAGGGAAUAUUGCUCAAUGGGGGAAACCCUGAAGCAGCAACGCCGCGUGGAGGAUGAAGGUUUUAGGAUUGUAAACUCCUUUUGUUAGAGAAGAUUAUGACGGUAUCUAACGAAUAAGCACCGGCUAACUCCGUGCCAGCAGCCGCGGUAAUACGGGGGGUGCAAGCGUUACUCGGAAUCACUGGGCGUAAAGAGCGCGUAGGCGGGGUAGCAAGUCAGAUGUGAAAUCCUAUGGCUUAACUAUAGAACUGCAUUUGAAACUGUUAGUCUAGAGUGUGGGAGAGGUAGGUGGAAUACUUGGUGUAGGGGUAAAAUCCGUAGAGAUCAAGAGGAAUACUCAUUGCGAAGGCGACCUGCUAGAACAUUACUGACGCUGAUGCACGAAAGCGUGGGGAGCAAACAGGAUUAGAUACCCGUGUAGUC
Molecule: ribosomal RNA, 440 nt
Filed under: uncultured bacterium
Lineage: Bacteria
Description: partial 16S ribosomal RNA
Rfam family: Bacterial small subunit ribosomal RNA
Source: RNAcentral